This 403-nucleotide ribosomal RNA is filed under the name uncultured bacterium. RNAcentral's name for it is "bacterial SSU rRNA". It matches the Rfam family "Bacterial small subunit ribosomal RNA", at positions 355 to 774 of the family's 1533-position model. The record is from RNAcentral.
UGGGGAAUUUUGCACAAUGGGCGAAAGCCUGAUGCAGCAACGCCGCGUGAGCGAUGAAGGCCUUUGGGUCGUAAAGCUCUGUCCUAGGGGAAGAAUAAAUGACGGUACCCUUGGAGGAAGCCCCGGCUAACUACGUGCCAGCAGCCGCGGUAAUACGUAGGGGGCAAGCGUUAUCCGGAAUUAUUGGGCGUAAAGAGUGCGUAGGUGGUUUUGUAAGCGCGGGGUGAAAGGCAAUAGCUCAACUAUUGUAAGCCCUGCGAACUGUGAGACUUGAGUGCAGGAGAGGAGAGCGGAAUUCCCAGUGUAGCGGUGAAAUGCGUAGAUAUUACUUAGAACACCAAUUGCGAAGGCAGGUUACCAAGAUAUAACUGACGCUGAGGGACGAAAGCGUGGGGAGCGAACA